UGAUAUGAAUAGCAAGAGCUUUUUUUUGUCUUGGUUGACGGUAUUACAGGUUGUGGAAUCCAAACAGUUACCUUGAGCCAUGAACAGGGUGAGAACCUCCACUUGAGCUCACCCAGUAGAGUGUUCAUUUGUCUGAAUUUUUGAGGUAUUUCCUGAGUUCCACCAGCAGUCGAAAGUUGGAUGGUUAUUUUGUGCAAGUCAUAUGAAACUCUGAUGCUUGAUGUGCGCCAAUCAUCAUUUGCUUAGACCUGUAAAGCAUCUCGGUAAUCUAUCUUCUUUUCCCGUGGCCUAUGAUGGAUCGAGUGAAGCAUGGAGCUGUUGCUCCUCCCGCAUCGCAGGGACCAAAGAUUGCUCUGGUUUUCUAAGCGAGCUUUUCAUUGACCACAGGGGGGGAGAAAGAUAACCUUUCUGGUGUAGGCGUGCAUCUUCCCGGCUUUGCCCACACAUGUUGUGUUGACGAUUGGCCUGGUUCAUCUUGAUGGUAACAUUUUUAAACCAUGAAAUAUCUGUCAUGAGAUUUACUCCUACUACCCUUUUGGCACUGGGCCUGUAAACCACCGUUGCUGGUCGUAGUACUCAAAUGACAGCCGUACGGAUCAGUCCCGGUGCCCGAGAAAGGCUCCAUCUUUCUGCUCUCUUUGCUUGUGGUUUGGUGCACUGAAAAGAAUGUGGGGGGAGGGAGGUCAUGGGAAGAAAUAGUUUACAAAACCAGCUGGGGCAAGGCAUUGCGGUGUUUUACUG
This 741-nucleotide long non-coding RNA is filed under the name Hordeum vulgare. RNAcentral describes it as "long non-coding RNA (HVUL_LNC010785)". Lineage: Eukaryota; Viridiplantae; Streptophyta; Magnoliopsida; Poales; Poaceae. The record is from RNAcentral.